Molecule: long non-coding RNA, 4205 nt
Filed under: Gallus gallus (chicken)
Lineage: Eukaryota; Metazoa; Chordata; Aves; Galliformes; Phasianidae
Source: RNAcentral
GGAAACGUGCACUUUUGAUUGGUGGCGGUGGGGAAGCUUUUUGCUACUGAUUGGCCGAACGCUUAGCGGCCUCCCGCCGCUUUCUGCUCUCGGCUGUAGGCACGGCGCAGCCCGGCCCCGAGCCUUUGCGUGUCCAGGGCUGCGCGGACACUCCCGCGCCGCGGGCGAGGCGCGACAGCUGCCGCUGCCCGGAAUAAGAGCUCUUGACGGGACAACGCCGGGGCCUUUAAGCCUCCCCUCGGUUCUCCCGGAUGCAGCUUGACGUAAGAAGGCGACCCGCGGCGCCGCUCGGGAGCCCUCGCGCCCAGUGACGCCGUCCUUCCGCUCCGGCGCUCGGGAAACGUCACUGUGCGUGACGGCGCGCGAGCCGCCAUUUGUUCUGCGCGCGCGCCGCCGCGCGUGGGUACCGCGCAUGCGCCGUGAGCCGAGCGGGCAAGGCGGGUACCGCGUCCAGGUGCGGGCUGGGGGUCGGUGAGCCGCCCGGCAAGGCGGUGUGCCCGCUUACUGGCUUUCUCCCUUCGCGGGCACCGGGAUGGUCCGAGGGCGUCUGCGUUGCUCGUCCGGGAUGAGCGCGAAGUCGAGGACUCGUUCUACCUUCUACCCGUUCGUGCCGGAGCCCGACAAGACGUUCUUACGAAACCUCUUCUGCCGCGUAACGUGAGCGGGCGGGGGGCGAGGGGGGGCGCGGCCCGCGCUGCGCUGCGCCGCUCUGCUCUGCCGGGCAUCGGCACUGUGGCAUCCGCGGGCACUGCGGGCGGCGCGGUGCCUCAGCCAGGCGGGAGAGGCGGCGGUCGGACGCUGAACCGUUAGUUCAGUACGUGUGUAUGGAAUGGAGGUCCUGAAGAGGCCCGUUUGCGCCGACGCAAAGCCGGGGUUGUGGUUUUACCGCAGGGACUGAAGGACGGUGGGAGAAGCAAACAAGCGAAGCGUGCGCGGUGCGGCGGUCUCAGCCCGGUCGCGGGCCGGGCCUGACGCGAAAUGGGAUUUUUUUAGGCCACAGUUGGAAUUCAGCAACAGAAGUGGUGGUGCAGCUUCUCCAUCAUAUACACUUCUCAUGUUCCUACACCUCUGUUGCCCUCUUCUUGUGAGUGCACAAAUUCAUCUGGGUGUAUGGUAAAAUAGAAUUGAUACACGGGCAAACCAGUGGCUGUGUUUCAAUGGAAGGAAUCCCUGGUCUGGUUUAUCUCACAGCCAUGCAAACAGCUGCACUGACAACAGAAAAAAAUGCACUUGGAACAGUGUCCUGAAAUUGUCACCGCUCCACUGGAACAGACAUCUGAAAAGAGCAAGAGAAAAAGGAGAGUUAGACAGCAGCUUGUGCUGCAGGAGCGGCAGUGUGUGGUGCUGUGAUGGAAACAACAGAGACCAUUUGAUACUUUACUAGGCACAUUCUAAAGAUCAAUCUAAACAUUGUUUUACUCGCAUUCGUUACUCACGUUAGCCUGAGAUGGCUCUGAACUUCAUUGGUAUGGUGUCAGAACACAUGUGGAACGGGAGAUAGAUGUGCUGAAGAAGCUCAGUGGCUGCUGUGCCGACACAGCAGUUAGAGCAAUAGGUUUGUUGACUGAAGCUAACCUGAGAACAAAAGCAAAAGGUCAGCAUGGGCAUUUUUCCCCUACCUAACCAGGUAAUCUUGAAUCAUUCUCUGUAAGCAAGAUCAAAAUCCUGUAUGAUUGUCACCAUUAUUAAGUAAUAUUUGUUUUCCAUCCUGAUGCUUUUUGCAAUUCUAUCAUGUCUUUGUAAUUAGCUUCAGGUGAAUCUGACUAAUUGUGAUUUUAUAUUUUUUUUCCUGGCUGAAAUUUCGGUGGGUGCUGGAGUUGCUGAGCCAUCACUUGGGUAUUCCGUGAAGUCUUUAAGCUAGAGAACCGAAUCCUGCACCCCGAAGCACCCCGACUGCGCUCUGAGAUGCAGUCGCUGAAAUGUACCCUUACUGCUGUGACAGUGGCUGCCAGCGUCCUCCAAGCCUUUGUGUCUCUCUUCAGACAAAACAGACUCGGGCUGCAGCCUGAGAACACUGUAGAUUUUUGAGCAGUAGUUACAAAGCCAGAAGAAUCUCCCCUUCACUGCUAUACUUACAAGUCAGUGCAUUCCUUGGUGUUAACGUAAGCUAUGGCUUUUAAAUAAUAUAAUAACCUACGAUUGGUGACUGAGUGCUUAAUUAUCAAAAUAAUCACAGAGUUCCUUUUUUGGAUUAAAUAAAGUGAUGAACUAAUACAGAAUUGGGACUUACAGGAAAUAGGAAUGAAGGCAUUGGUGCAGCUCGCUUUCAAAAGUAGGGUCAGACUUCAUUUUUUUUUCCUGCUAAGCUGAUAAAACAAAACAGGCAAAGGGACUUAUCUUAAGUUCCAUAGAAUGGUUCAGAAGAGGAAACAAAGCAAUAGCAGACUCAUUUUUAUAACUCAAAUGUUGAAAAGUAAAUCGGCUCAGAACCCCCUGAGCAGGAGAGUUACAUUGCUGCCAAUGGUGGUGUUGGAUAGGUGGGAGUACGUUUGUUUCAGAGCACUGCUCUAUCUGCAGCAUCCAAAGCCCUUAUCAGACACCUUCUGACAUUGGGAUUACAGUUCCCAGGAACUUCUGACCGAAAUAAGUUAAUGAUAUCUGAAGAUAAUUCCCGGAAUGCGUUCCCUUAAGGUGUUUUGGUUUUGCUGUCUUGUAAAUAGUCCUUGCUUCUUUCCCAGACCCAGAAUUCUGUCAUAUUUAGGUAUAAUGACAUUGUGCUCUUUCCAUAAGCAGUCAUUUGCAAAUACAGGGUUAUUCCAACCCCGUGUGUAUUUUGGGAAGAAAUCUCUUUUCCUCGAUAAUUAAAACAGGGAAUUUCAAAAAAGAUUUGUUUAAACACCCAUAAGAACAGUCAAUUUGGGUCAGACAUGAAUAUAUGUUUUAACUGCUCAAGGAAAUAGUCACCAACAGCACCUUGAAAAAUGAGAUAAAUUUAUGUACAGAUCAAGAAACUUCAAGGGUAGGUGGGAAGCACAUCAUGAAGGUAUGAAUUUGUCAACUCUCUUCUUUUUGAGCAGCUUUAAAUUUUUCCUUGUUAACAUUAUUAUAAUUAUUUGUUACAAUUUUCCUAAAAGAAAAAACAUCCAAAUGUUUCCUAUUUUAUUAUCUAUUGUGGCUAAGAAAGCUUAAAGGUACUGAUAUCGGCCCACUUAAUUUAGCUGUUUAUUUUGUUACUUCCUACUUUCUCUAUAAUAUUGUCUUACUUGUCCGUACAUUACAAAGGCACACUGGAAACUAAGCUGAGGAAAAUUACACCCAUUUUCUGACCUGCUUGCUAAUACGAUGUUUACAUCGCUGACGUAAUGAGCAAACCCAUUAUCAUGAGCUUCAGCUGUUUACAACAGGUCUGAACUUUAUCGUUUUCUUUUUUGUAGCUCUGGCUGUGCAGAUUAAUGUAAUGAUGUAAGGUGUGUCAGAUGGCUUCCUUCUGCAGGCAGAGAACACCUCUGCAGCCGCUGUUAGCGCAGGCCUCCGGAGGUGCCUCACUGAAGGGACGUUCUCAUUUUGUGGUGUGGAAGAGAAUCCACAUUAACAGGCAGUUACAAAUAACGGCUGUGACGGAGGAGCAAAACCUUUCCCAACAGCAGCAGUGCAUGUGGGUAGUGUGCACUCAGCAAGGAGAUGCAGCAUACCUGAAGUCUUGGAGCAGUGCUUUUAGGUAGGAAAAAAGGGCUACAAGGGUUCUUCUGCUAACAGAACAGGAAGUCCCUUAUCUUCUAAAGCUGCGUGACUCCAUGCUUAAUUGCAGGCUCCAGGCAGAUACGAAACAUGCCUUGCUCAAAUGAAUUACUUGAGCCUGUACAAGCAAUUUCAGGACCUACGGCAUAGAAGCCAGAUGAGACAAUCUAACCCUCAACUCUUUGAAUAAAAGACAAAUAAGUGAAAGAAGAAGAUGAGCAGAGGCCAAGACAGUGAUGAUUUAGUGAAGCACAACAUUAAAAGAACAGGAAAAAAAAAGAAAGUUUACCAAUAAGAAAUCACUUCUGGUUUGAUGGUGACCCUUCCCUAAGGGAUCAUCCUUCUUGGUGCCCUCACAUCACUCCCAAAGUCCAGUAUUUAACACAAAAUUAGGGCUCCUGCGGCUCCUCCUCUUCCUUCAGCCUGCAGAAAGGUUGAUCAUAAAGGCACCCACCUAAUUCCAGUUCUCCCAGUUGUGGGGUAAUCAGCUCAUUAUGCCGAUGACAGAAAACUGUAAUAUAUAUGCU